GUGGGGAAUAUUGGACAAUGGGGGCAACCCUGAUCCAGCCAUGCCGCGUGUGUGAAGAAGGCCUUCGGGUUGUAAAGCACUUUAAGCGGGGAGGAAGGCCUGAUGGCUAAUAUCCAUCAGGAUUGACGUUACCCGCAGAAUAAGCACCGGCAAACUUCGUGCCAGCAGCCGCGGUAAUACGAAGGGUGCGAGCGUUAAUCGGAAUUACUGGGCGUAAAGCGCGCGUAGGUGGUUUUGUAAGCGGAAUGUGAAAUCCCCGGGCUCAACCUGGGAACUGCAUGCCGAACUGCAAGGCUAGAGUAUAGUAGAGGGGUGUGGAAUUCCCGGUGUAGCGGUGAAAUGCGUAGAUAUCGGGAGGAACAUCAGUGGCGAAGGCGGCACCCUGGACUGAUACUGACACUGAGGCGCGAAAGCGUGGGUAGCGAACAGGAUUAGAAACCCCUGUAGUCC
Molecule: ribosomal RNA, 450 nt
Filed under: uncultured bacterium
Lineage: Bacteria
Description: bacterial SSU rRNA
Rfam family: Bacterial small subunit ribosomal RNA
Source: RNAcentral